AAAUGCAGAGUGCAUGAAGUGGAAACACUUCUUCCCUUCGGGCUCUUUGCAAGGUGCUGCAUGGUUGUCGUCAGCUCGUGCCGUGAGGUGUCGGGUUAAGUCCCAUAACGAGCGCAACCCUUAUCGUUAGUUGCCAGCGGGUAAAGCCGGGAACUCUAGCGAAACUGCCGGUGUAAACCGAGAGGAAGGUGGGGAUGACGUCAAAUCAGCACGGCCCUUAUGUCCAGGGCUACACACGUGUUACAAUGGCCGGUACAGAGGGCAGCUACCUGGAGACAGGAUGCGAAUCUCGAAAGCCGGUCUCAGUUCGGAUCGGAGUCUGCAACUCGACUCCGUGAAGCUGGAUUCGCUAGUAAUCGCGCAUCAGCCAUGGCGCGGUGAAUACGUUCCCGGGCCUU
This 398-nucleotide ribosomal RNA is filed under the name uncultured Sphingobacteriales bacterium. Its description in RNAcentral is "bacterial SSU rRNA". It matches the Rfam family "Bacterial small subunit ribosomal RNA", at positions 983 to 1382 of the family's 1533-position model. The record is from RNAcentral. Lineage: Bacteria; Pseudomonadati; Bacteroidota; Sphingobacteriia; Sphingobacteriales.